GACCCUCCCCACAGCUCCAAGACUCAGCCCACAGCACCAAGAUUAAAUCCAGAGCACAGGCUCGCCCCACUGCACUCGGACAAGCUCACCUCAUCGCAGAGAGAUGCAAAGACCAUCUUAACAUGUAUCCCCUCGACUGGCACAAUGCACCAUCUUUCCCUCCAAGGCAUCAGUUGACUCCGCAACAAACACAGUCACCACACAAUGCAAACACACCCUAUGGCACCCUCGUGUGCCCUACAGCGUCCAGAGCUCCUCCAAAUAUCCACUUCUCCAUAAGGCACACUGUGGCCUUGGAUCAAGAAAGCCCCUGUCAAAUUCUUCAGACACACUUUGUGAUACAUAUACACACCUCACAACUCACAGCACUACUUCCCAGUGUGCAUACUGGCCCUACAGUGCACAGGCUUCUUCCACAACAGACACGCUCAUGCCGUGGCAGCACCUAACUUUUCCCGGAAGUGUUCAGAUUUGCCCCUCAGCGCACAGUCACCUCACAACCUCGAUACAACCUAUGAUAAACACAACCCUGCACUCAGUUAUGCAGGGUCAUGUCACAGAACACACUUGUCAUGUAGAUUCAUUUCACCCAAACCACACUCCUUAGGGUGAUUACGCAGUGCACACACACACCCCCAGACACUCACCACCCUUUGUUCUACAACCUCCGGAUUCACCCGUAACACACAGAUGGCUUUCACACCAAAGUCGGCCCAAGGAGGCCCAGAACUUCAUCUAGAUGCACAGAUUCUCCCAUCAACACACAGACUUGCUCCACGACACACACAAACACCACAGAACCCUGAGCUUCACCCCAAAUACUCAGUCAAGCCUUUCAAGUCAUAGAUUUGCCCCACGACAUAAUGACACCCACAAAACUUAGAAUUCACAGAAAUGCCUGUGAACACAGAUUUCUCCCUCAAUGCAUAGAGUUGCAACACGACAUACAUUUACCCUAAGAUAGAAAACCUAUAAAGCACAUGAGCCUUCCCCAAUAUGUAGACACACAACACACACUAUUACCUGUGCAACACCAAGAUUUCCAUCAUAGUUUACAGAUGUGUUUUACCAUCCCACGGAGCUGCAGCCCUGGCCCUCAACACAUACCACUUGUGUAAUGGCUAAGAGCAAGGCCUCUGGACCCAGACUACUUGGGUUCGAAUCCAGGUUCCACCCCUUUCUAAUUGUGCACAUUGGUCUUCAUUUGUCAACUGUGGAUGAUGCUGGUUCCUGCCUCCAAGACUGUUGGACUCUAUGACACCAGGAGAUGGGAAGAUUGAGAGAGCUGGUGGAAGCGGGGAAGAGGGCCUCUUUCGCCACCUAGUGACCAUUUUGAGUGGUGAUACUUGUUCUCAUCUCAGCCUGGUAGCCUGAACUUGACUCCUGAGUUCUGUGAUCCCUUCACAACUGCAAGUCAUUCUCAUAUGAAAUUUGAGUUUACCUAGUCUGCACCUUUGAGAGUUUCAGAACAAUAUGCAAAUUCCAGUUACCAUCAUGCUGUUUUGUUGAAUAUCUCAGGGAGAAGAGGCUGGACCAUCGGACUGCAUUAUGCAAACCCAUUCUACAAAUAGCAGACAGAAAGACCUCACACAGACAGUGGAACCCUGGAAUUCAGACUCUGACAGCUUUGAUGAUGUGAUGAUCCAUGCAGGAGACUGAGCUUACUCAUAUGCAGAUAAAAUCCUGUUUUCUCCAUUCUUUCCCUGUCACUACUGUGAUGAUCAGCCUUUUCAGUGAUGUUAUUCUUCACCUUAAGCUCAGAGAGAAAUAGAAAUUAGUUGCCCAACAAUCACAAUUGCUAAUGUAAAAUUCGUAAAUUCCAUCAAGGCUCACUUUACUUAGUGUUUUAUUCUGAUGAACAAACCAAUUGUCUGGGCUUUUAUAAUACUCCCUUCCCUCCCCCAAUUUCCCCCCAAAACUUAUAAAUUCCUCCAACACAAAUUCCCCUACAAGGAGGGUUUAAGUAACUCAACUCUAGGACCUAAGGAGGGGGUUAUUCAGUUUGAUAAGUUUUUGACCCUAAAAUUUAUUUUAACUCUGUUUAAGCCUAACUUGCUGUCUCAACAGAAAGGAUACAAAUCCCCUUGUUAAUUCAUUUGGUAUAAGUUCAUUUGUUUUGCAGUAGUUGUAUAAGGUACUCAAAGGCAUGGUGUGUCCUGGAAGGCAGUACGUUUAUAGUGGAUUCCUGGAUUUACUUUGGUACCUAAUCAAGGAGGAGAAGCUGCUAGAGUUCAUUGCCAUCCAUCUUCUCUGUUCUCAUAUCUGGUCUUCCAAGUGAUUCAAAUGGUUGAAUAUCCUCUUCCCUAAAGGUGGUAGAAAUUCAGUAAGUUUUCCCCUAGCCUGGAAAAUCUGAAAGAUAGGUCCCCUAUAUCUGAGUUUGCAGUGAUCAGAGAAAGGGGACAAGAAUACAAAAGUUAAAAGUCUUGGCUUGUGUAGUUACAGUUGGGAUGACAGACAUUCCUCAACAUGUUCCAAAGAGGCAGAUGAGUGUUGAAAACCCAUUACUGGGUGAUAGGGACCUAGGGGCUCACCAUAGUGCCAGGGGAGCUUACACUCUUCUCUAAGUCACGGUGGUUUUCAACACUGGCUGCCCAUCAAAAUCGUUAUGGGGAACUUCAAAAGCAGAUUUUUGGGAUCUGUCCCUAGACGUGCUAAAUCGGGGAUUAGGCCAGCAGCUGUUGAUUUUGAAAGCUACUCAAGCAGUUUUUUUAAUAGAGUCAUGGUUGGAAACCACUGCUGUUGAAAACCAUAAUUAUGAUAGAAAAUAUACCACAAAUGAUAGUGAGCCCAGGGGGUAGGAAACCUCGAUUCCAAGUUUCUGCACUGCCACGGGCUCAGUGGAUGCUCUUAUUCAAAUCAUCCUACUCUUUCCUUGUCUGUCCAAGGAGAGAACAGGAACACUUGGUCUCUGAUGUCCUUCUAUCUCUAACAUUGUUACCUUGAGAGAAAGGUUCAUCAGCCUCAUUGGUUGAUUUUGAGACUACCUAAGCCCUUUCAUAGAGACCAAGGUAAGUAGUAAUACUACUGUCUUGUACUCUUGUUGUUUUAAAAAUGGUUCUUGCGACUCAGGCUUUCUUAUGUUUUACUCCCUCUCAGAAAACAGUUAGUCACAGAUGCCAUAGAAGAAAGGGAAACCAACUUAACAUCAACUCUGAGUUAUAGGGUUUGCAUUAUAUAUAUAAUGCAUAGACAUUAUCAAUCAAACUAGAUAUUUUGUUUCAUUUCCAUAAACCAAAGCAGAGAAUUGUUAACUGUUUCAAGGUUCCAUGGAUAACUGGGGUACUCUUAAUCAUACCUAGAGGCAAAUAUUUUUAAGUGAAUGAUUGUUUUACCAGUAUAAUCAGCAGUUCCAUGUGGUUUUAAAGAAUGUAGUUUCUUGAUAAGUUUAUCAUUUAUUGAGAUUAUUGCAUUGGCAAGUUUUUGUCUUAAUUUGACCAGAAUUAGAGAAAUAAAACUUUAAGUUGAAUAGCAUCCAUCAGGAAAUGUUAAUAUAAAAUAAUACAAUGGAAAACUGACUAGUAUAUGAUUCUGGUGGUGGUAGGAAUGCCUAGACUUUGGCUUGAUAUAUGGAAAUAUUUGUCUAUGGCCUAGACUAUUUGAAAAUACUGGGGUAUAUCUAAUUCUUGUUUAUGGCAAUAUCCAUUUCAAAUAAUUUAAAAAAUAUCAUUGAUGAGGGUAAAAGACCAUUUUAAUAUGGUUCAGUCUAGCAAGUCAGCAGGGCUUCCAAGGUGGCUCAGUGGUAAAAGAAUCUGCCUGCCAGUGCAGGAGACCAAGAGAUGGG
This is a non-coding RNA of Odocoileus virginianus texanus, 3781 nucleotides long. NCBI's taxonomy places the organism in Eukaryota, Metazoa, Chordata, Mammalia, Artiodactyla, Cervidae. The record is from RefSeq and is a predicted model, not a curated record.